Non-coding RNA from Cajanus cajan (pigeon pea), 1916 nucleotides. Lineage: Eukaryota; Viridiplantae; Streptophyta; Magnoliopsida; Fabales; Fabaceae. The record is from RefSeq and is a predicted model, not a curated record.
CCACUCCAAUAGUACGAUGGCACUUUGGUACUGUAGUUUGAUAGUAAAAAACUUAACCAGAGUUGCUCUAUUUAUUAGCUUAUUUUCAUUCUAUUGAUCAUUUUUCAUUGGUUUACAUGCUUCUUUAAAUGCAAAUGUAUGUUUGAAAUUGAGGAUCAGUUAUCAUGGAUGUUCAUGUGGGAAACACUCCUGCUGAUCUUCUUGAUGACUGGUCUCCAAGGUUCGAGGUGUUGACUAAAUCUCUGCUCCAAGUGGUGGGAAGGGUACUUGCAAAGGUAUUUGGAUUAGAUGCUUAAGUGAGUAUUCAGUACAGAGCAAUAAAGACUACAAUAUUAAAUAAUCAUACUUGUCUCAUCAAUGUUAUAUUUAUAGUGACGGGCCUAACGAGCCUUUUGGGAUAAUGGGCUAAUUACUGUGGAUUUUGUCUCCUAAUCAUAGCUGACGUGGAUCUUUAUUGUGAAUCUGUAAUUAGUCUUCUGUGUGCUAGGGUGAUUCGGUGUUUACUGUGGCCAAGUACCCAUUUGGGUUGCUCGUUGGCCGAAGAGGGGUACUCGGCUUCUUUGCUUUCCAAGUACUCAUUCGGGUUACACAUUGAUCGAAGGAGUGGUCGGCCUCUGGUCUUUGAGUACCUAUUGGGGUUGCUCCUUGGCCGAGGGGGUACCCGGCCUCUUUGAUUUCUGAAUACUUAUUAGAGUGACGGGGUUAUUUAUCCAUCCGGCCCCAUUAGGCCCGGAUAGUCUUGGUCAGGAUGAAGGCCGAAGGGUGUGUCCGGGUCCACUGGUACAAUGGACUUAAAUCCAUUAGAAAUUUUCUGCAAGUUCAGUUUCUCUCAUAACUUAAAAAUCAAGAUCAGAUCUUCACUUCAUCAUCAACUGAAUAUAUUGAUGGAUUUUGGCUCUUACUAGGGAAAUAGCACCACAGAACAAAAUUCAAGGCACUGACCAAAGAUUUAUUCACCUUUCCCUUGGAUUCUAAAUUGCAUAAAGCACUUGAACCUGUUAUUUAUAGACACACUGCCAAAUCUAUGAUCAAACAGAUCUAUGUUGUCAUACAACGUAAGAGAGCAUGAUGAUAUAUCUAUGUUAUUUAUCAGCUGUUGACUGGACCAAAUUAUAACACCUCGAGUGGUGCAAUGCUUGAUAUUGAUAUGUUCCACAUUAGCCUAUAGGCCCAGAUAAAAAGAGAUUGUCUCAUUCAAUAUCAAAGGUAAGGUUUGCUUUAAAACUUAAAUAAUCUGCUUGCAUUGGCAUAUUCUAAUAGCCUAUGAAGAUAGUUUUGAUCUUUCUUGACCCUCUAUAUACCAUGAUUUAUUUUGGGUGCUUAAUGUGAAUUUAGAACAGGUUAUUUAGAGAACUAACUGUAACGUAAGCGACGGUACACCAAAACAUCAACACAAACUGUUACAAAUUACAACAUAAAAUGAUUAAUCCUAGAUAGUGGUUUAAGGUUUCCCUAUUAAGGGGCCUAGCCUUUACACACGUGCCUGAUGGGGUGUUAUUUGAAAUUGAUCCAACAAACCAAGAUGAGCUUGAAAGAGCAAGACAAGAGAGAGAAAUUCAGGGCCUCUUCUAAGUUGAUGAGCAUGCAUGUCUACUCUACAUUGAGCACUAGCAUAGCUCAUAAUCUCGAUCCACAAUUCUUCAACAAAUUUCCAUCUAAAUUGUUUUGUUGUGGAGAAACUUUGAUGUGUUGGAAAAACUCCAUGGCUUCAACUAUUGUGUCAUUAAGAGUUAUCAUCCCUGCUCCUACUGGCAACAUGUGACGUUUCUUGACCAAGAGGUAAAACAUAUAAUCAGACAUCUCUUGUCAGUUCUUCUUUGUAUUUAAAUUAGACCUUGACCCUUCAUCAUACUAAUAAAACAAAUAUGUAGCAAUGUGCCAUGUGAUAAUUGUUCUAUGAAAUUCAAGUUCACUUG